AAGAAGAGAAAAGGGCGUAAGGUUAAGAGGUAUGAGUGUCCAGCCCACCUUUACCUUACGCACAAGGAUGCGUGGUGGAGAGUCGAACGCUUUGAUGACAACCACAACCAUCCACUGAUAAGAAAGCCAUAUCUGACAAAAUUUCUAGCCUCACAUAGGAACAUUCCCAAAGACGAGCAAGAUUUCUUACGGAUUCUACAUGAAUGCAACAUAGACACCGCAAGGCAAAUGCAACUAAUUUCAUGGUUCUAUGGUGAUGCUGAGAAUGUACCAUACACAACACAGGACCUUGCAAAUCAGCGAGCCAAGUUUCGCAAGGAGUACCAUACUGCAGACGUGGGGAGCACAAUUGCAUACUUUGAGGAGCUCAGGGCAAAGGAUCCAGAUUUCUAUUGGAGAAUGAAACUUGAUGAUGAAGACAGGGUGGAAAACGUGUUCUCGAUAGAUGGUGCAUCACGUAGGGCAUACGCGAAAUACGACAUUGUGUCUUUCGACACAAGUACAUGA
Molecule: ribosomal RNA, 507 nt
Filed under: Triticum aestivum (bread wheat)
Lineage: Eukaryota; Viridiplantae; Streptophyta; Magnoliopsida; Poales; Poaceae
Description: partial small subunit ribosomal RNA
Source: RNAcentral